AUGGAAAUACCGGGGAGCAUAAAAGCUGAGAGGAUAAGGAUCGACCCGUGUAACCUGAUCCGGACAAUACCGGCGGAGGGAGAUGGAUACGAAUAGAG
RNAcentral lists this non-coding RNA (98 nucleotides) under Ferroplasma sp. Its description in RNAcentral is "TPP sequence". It matches the Rfam family "TPP riboswitch aptamer (THI element)". From Rfam's summary of the family: Vitamin B(1) in its active form thiamin pyrophosphate (TPP) is an essential coenzyme that is synthesised by coupling of pyrimidine and thiazole moieties in bacteria. The previously detected thiamin-regulatory element, thi box was extended, resulting in a new, highly conserved RNA secondary structure, the THI element, which is widely distributed in eubacteria and also occurs in some archaea. The record is from RNAcentral. Lineage: Archaea; Methanobacteriati; Thermoplasmatota; Thermoplasmata; Thermoplasmatales; Ferroplasmaceae.